AUGAAGGCAGAGGCUGCCCCCUCGCCCUGCGCUGAGCCGCGGGGCACCUCCGGCUGGGGAACCUCGGCGGGGGCCCUGACUGCUCGCCCGUGGGGCCUGACUUGGGAAAUCUUGGCUUCUCCUCGGCGCCUGGCUGCCCCCGCCCCCAGCGGGACCCUGCCUGGCGCCUCUCAGCUCCAAGGAGGCCCCGUUCCCAGGAGCGCGGUCAGCGUGACCGGCUUUGGUGAUGCGCCCCCCACCCCGGGCCUGCUGUGUGCCUGCCUAUGCCCACCCAGGAGCCCUGGACAUGGUGACGGGCCCUCAGACGUGCCCCUGGGGAGCCCAGCCUGGCCCAAUCUGGUGCUCACACAGGGCCGGGCUGGGCCCGCCCUCUCUGGGGCCACAUGGAGGCCGGAGAUCCCUCCUGCGGGGGGAGGCAGGCCCCUCGGAGCGGCGGGCAUCCUGAACUGGCAUCGGGGACAAAGGGGCCUGGGGCUCUCACCCUCGGUGUGGGCAGGGAGGAGCCCGAGCUGGGUGGUGAGGGGUAUGGCGGGGGGCCGACCGCCAAGUCCUGCCCUGUGCGGGGGCCGCCAGCCCCAGGCCAGGCGUGGGGAUGGACUGGCAAAGGGCAGGGCCGCAGGACGUCCGUGGGCUGGGCUGUCCCCACCACCUGCGCUGGAGCUCGGGGCACAGCCGGGACGCCACCUGCCCUGGGGUCGCCUGGUGAACCCCGAUGGCCCCUCCAGACAGAACCGGCCGAGCCCAGACCCCUCCGCCAGGCGCCGUCCUCCAACCAACAGCCUGGGUGGCCUUGUGCUGGACCGUGUUUCCCCAGAGAUGAGCCCACAGUGUGGGCACCUUCCAAGGGGCCGUCAGCGAGACGCAGGACCCACAUGGCAAUGGGCCCCUGGGCUUCCCGGCGGCCACUGUGGCUCCCCUGCCCCUGCUGUCCCGAGAGGGCACCUGGUGUGCGAGGCGGCUGGGGGUGAGGUGCCGCGCGGCCCCUAUGCACCAUGCGGGGGGCUGGUGCCACUGCUGGGAGCUGUGUGCUCACAAGUGUGCGUGCGUGUGCACUAG
RNAcentral lists this long non-coding RNA (1056 nucleotides) under Capra hircus (goat). RNAcentral describes it as "lncRNA (ENSCHIG00010007301.1)". The record is from RNAcentral. Lineage: Eukaryota; Metazoa; Chordata; Mammalia; Artiodactyla; Bovidae.